RNAcentral lists this ribosomal RNA (213 nucleotides) under Thalassiosira minuscula. RNAcentral describes it as "partial Bacterial large subunit ribosomal RNA". It matches the Rfam family "Bacterial large subunit ribosomal RNA", at positions 1004 to 1211 of the family's 2925-position model. Lineage: Eukaryota; Bacillariophyta; Thalassiosirophyceae; Thalassiosirales; Thalassiosiraceae. The record is from RNAcentral.
UCCGUCGUGGAGAGGGAAACAACCCUGACCUCCGGCUAAGGCCCCCAAUUCAUGGCUAAGUGGGAAAGCAGGUGAGACGUCCAAAACAACCAGGAGGUUGGCUUAGAAGCAGCCAUCCUUUAAAGAUAGCGUAACAGCUCACUGGUCUAAAUAAGUUGUCCUGCGGCGAAGAUGUAACGGGGCUCAAGCCAUGAGCCGAAGCUUAGGAUGCAC